UUGGAGGGCAAGUCUGGUGCCCGCAGCCGCGGUAAUUCCAGCUCCAAUAGCGUAUAUUAAAGUUGUUGCAGUUAAAAAGCUCGUAGUUGAACCUUGGGUCUGGCUGGCCGGUCCGCCUCACCGCGAGUACUGGUCCGGCUGGACCUUUCCUUCUGGGGAAUCUCAUGGCCUUCACUGGUCUGUGGGGGGAACCAGGACUUUUACUGUGAAAAACUUAGAGUGUUCAAAGCAGGCCUUUGCUCGAAUACAUUAGCAUGGAAUAAUAGAAUAGGA
This 273-nucleotide ribosomal RNA is filed under the name uncultured Ascomycota. RNAcentral's name for it is "partial 18S ribosomal RNA". It matches the Rfam family "Eukaryotic small subunit ribosomal RNA", at positions 548 to 827 of the family's 1831-position model. Lineage: Eukaryota; Fungi; Ascomycota. The record is from RNAcentral.